CAUCCAGCCCCGAUGCGAGGCGAGAUCGAGCCAAGGCCAGGGCCCAGGCUCGCGCCGGGAUUGAGCGGAGGUGCGGGAUUCUGGAUCGAGCAGAAUCGCGGGAUGCGGGUCGCCCGAGGGAAUCAAGCCGAGGCGACAUGCGCGAGGGGAUCAGCAGAGGCGCGUCAUGCGGCAAUAAUGGUCGACGCCUCGUGUGCUAGAAACUGCUCCGCUCACUCUUGAAGCGGAUAAUCAUGGCGUAUUCAUGGCUGGGCAGAAGAUGUGGAAGAUCCAAUACACUGGUAAACACCACAGAGGACGUGGCGUGAUACGGCCGCAAGAGGAUGGCAUACGUUUAGCAGGCCAAGAACUAGAGCAACGGCCCGCACUACCUCUGCAUCUGGGGCAAGGUCUCCUGCCCCCAUGGCAACAUCAACAUAGUCCACGCCAAGUUCAUCUCCAACCUGCCGGUAGAGGCCAUUGGGCGUAAGGUCGGUGUCUUAGUGUACCUGAGCAGCAUCUAAAGGUUAGUUUCCAGAAUUUAUCAGUUAUCUGCUUACCAUUCAGGUGUCGAUUCCAGAAUUUGUUGUUGCUCAAUGGGAAGUUUUCUAAAUCGACUUGUUAGUUGUUCAUGAUUCGAUGAUUUAUUUUUGGUUUGGUCAAUGUUUGAAAUGUUGGUCGCACACUUGCAAUGUGCUGUCAUUCUUCUGCAGAACGAAUUGUGCAAUUUGAAAGUGUGAAAACGGGCACUAGGUGUGUGUACUGAUUACUGAAUUUGGUCCCACAUAAAAGUUUGCACUCUGGGCGAUAUUUAGGCCAUUCUCCUCUGCCCAUCUGAUGGGCAAGGUGUAUGGAUAUUUCUGUUCAUACAACAUUGCUGGACAUGUUACUUCACCAUGAUCAAAUGAGUAAUAGUCUCUUGGAUUUUGCACAUCCUUUGCGUCCUUUGCCACUUCACGCAUUUGCAUGGACUGUCAACAAUUCAUUAUUUUUAAUGAAGAAUGUCUUAUAUACACUGGAUAAGAUAAGAUAGGGGCGGACGAACUAGGGCUGCUGCGAGGCCGAGGUGCCAGACGGCCUAAUUAUUAGAGUGAUGAUUUCCACAUGUAAUGAUGCUACGCUCAUAUUUUUUGCAUAAGAAUCUUCAGAUUUUACAUUGAAAUGUGGACCUAUAGCUUGUAGAUGAUGUAUGAGGUUUGAAAUCUUCAGUGGUUCUUCCAGUUAAGGAGAGCAUAUGAGGUUUUCUUCCUGCUCUUAGUUGGCCUCUUGGGUGAUAUUUUUUGGACUAAUUUAAGGAAUCAGGUAAGCAUUCACCUUACAAGUCAUAAUAACUUUUCCGUAAAAUGGUGCAUCUGUUAAGUUUCUCAGCAAAGCGCACCACAAAUGUGACCAGAGCACUUCACAAUGGUCAUGGAAUUACAGUAACUAUUGGGGUAGUGAUUAUUUAUGUUGACACUCUUCUGUUCGUUGUCAAGCAAUUCAGUAUUGGUGUUGAUGGACU
Triticum aestivum (bread wheat) is the source of this 1480-nucleotide long non-coding RNA. RefSeq lists it as uncharacterized. The transcript has 3 exons. NCBI's taxonomy places the organism in Eukaryota, Viridiplantae, Streptophyta, Magnoliopsida, Poales, Poaceae. The record is from RefSeq and is a predicted model, not a curated record.